This 497-nucleotide ribosomal RNA is filed under the name uncultured bacterium. Its description in RNAcentral is "partial 16S ribosomal RNA". It matches the Rfam family "Bacterial small subunit ribosomal RNA", at positions 28 to 507 of the family's 1533-position model. The record is from RNAcentral.
GAUGAACGCUGGCGGCGUGCCUAAUACAUGCAAGUCGAGCGAACGGACGAGAAGCUUGCUUCUCUGAUGUUAGCGGCGGACGGGUGAGUAACACGUGGAUAACCUACCUAUAAGACUGGGAUAACUUCGGGAAACCGGAGCUAAUACCGGAUAAUAUUUUGAACCGCAUGGUUCAAAAGUGAAAGACGGUCUUGCUGUCACUUAUAGAUGGAUCCGCGCUGCAUUAGCUAGUUGGUAAGGUAACGGCUUACCAAGGCAACGAUGCAUAGCCGACCUGAGAGGGUGAUCGGGCACACUGGAACUGAGACACGGUCCAGACUCCUACGGGAGGCAGCAGUAGGGAAUCUUCCGCAAUGGGCGAAAGCCUGACGGAGCAACGCCGCGUGAGUGAUGAAGGUCUUCGGAUCGUAAAACUCUGUUAUUAGGGAAGAACAUAUGUGUAAGUAACUGCGCACAUCUUGACGGUACCUAAUCAGAAAGCCACGGCUAACUACGUG